CCUACGGGGGGCAGCAGUGGGGAAUCUUGGACAAUGGGCGAAAGCCUGAUCCAGCAAUGCCGCGUGCGUGAAGAAGGCCUUCGGGUUGUAAAGCGCUUUUGUCGGGGAGGAAAUCCUAACUUCUAAUAAAGGUUGGGGAUGACAGUACCCGAAGAAUAAGCACCGGCUAACUACGUGCCAGCAGCCGCGGUAAUACGUAGGGUGCAAGCGUUAAUCGGAAUUACUGGGCGUAAAGCGUCCGCAGGUGGCUUGAUAAGAUAGACGUGAAAUCCCUGGGCUCAACCUAGGAAUUGCGUAUAUGACUGUCUCGCUAGAGUAUGGGAGAGGGGGGUGGAAUUCCGCGUGUAGCAGUGAAAUGCGUAGAGAUGCGGAGGAACACCGAUGGCGAAGGCAACCCCCUGGCCUAAUACUGACACUCAUGGACGAAAGCGUGGGGAGCAAACAGGAUUAGAUACCCGGGUAGUC
Molecule: ribosomal RNA, 465 nt
Filed under: uncultured bacterium
Lineage: Bacteria
Description: bacterial SSU rRNA
Rfam family: Bacterial small subunit ribosomal RNA
Source: RNAcentral